UAAUCCGAGAAUUUCACCUCUGACAAUGAAAUACGGAUGCCCCCGACUGUCCCUCUUAAUCAUUACUCCAGUCUCGGAAACCAACAAAAUAAGACCAGAGUCCUAUCAUGUUAUUCCAUGCUAAUGUAUUCAGAGCGAUGGCUUGCUUUGAACACUCUAAUUUUUUCAAAGUAACAACGCCGACUCCGAACGCCACCCAAUUAAGUGCGACGCACGUCCCCGGCAGAAAGGAAGGGGCCACCAGUGCACACCGGAACGGCGGACCGGUGCCCCCGACCCAAAAUCCAACUACGAGCUUUUUAACUGCAACAACUUAAAUAUACGCUAUUGGAGCUGGAAUUACCGCCA
This 348-nucleotide unclassified non-coding RNA is filed under the name uncultured Ascomycota. RNAcentral's name for it is "sequence contains ITS1". The record is from RNAcentral. Lineage: Eukaryota; Fungi; Ascomycota.